UACGGAGGAUGCAAGCGUUAUCCGGAUUCAUUGGGUUUAAAGGGUGCGCAGGCGGGCUUGUAAGUCAGUGGUGAAAUACUGCCGCUUAACGGUAGAAUUGCCAUUGAUACUGCAGGUCUUGAGUAUGGUUGAGGUAGGCGGAAUGUGCAGUGUAGCGGUGAAAUGCAUAGAGAUUGCACAGAACACCGAUUGCGGAGGCAGCUUACUAAGCCAUAACUGACGCUGAGGCA
This 230-nucleotide ribosomal RNA is filed under the name uncultured microorganism. RNAcentral's name for it is "partial 16S ribosomal RNA". It matches the Rfam family "Bacterial small subunit ribosomal RNA", at positions 524 to 753 of the family's 1533-position model. The record is from RNAcentral.